GGGGGCCCGCAAGCGGUGGAGCAUGUGGUUUAAUUCGAUGCAACGCGAAGAACCUUACCCACUCUUGACAUCCAGAGAAUUUAGCAGAGAUGCUUUAGUGCCUUCGGGAACCCUGAGACAGGUGCUGCAUGGCUGUCGUCAGCUCGUGUUGUGAAAUGUUGGGUUAAGUCCCGCAACGAGCGCAACCCUUAUCCUUUGUUGCCAGCACGUAAUGGUGGGAACUCAAAGGAGACUGCCGGUGAUAAACCGGAGGAAGGUGGGGAUGACGUCAAGUCAUCAUGGCCCUUACGAGUAGGGCUACACACGUGCUACAAUGGCGCAUACAAAGAGAAGCGACCUCGCGAGAGCAAGCGGACCUCAUAAAGUGCGUCGUACUCCGGAUUGGAGUCUGCAACUCGACUCCAUGAAGUCGGAAUCGCUAGUAAUCGUAAAUCAGAAUGUUACGGUGAAUACGUUCCCGGGCCUUGUACACACC
RNAcentral lists this ribosomal RNA (475 nucleotides) under uncultured bacterium. Its description in RNAcentral is "bacterial SSU rRNA". It matches the Rfam family "Bacterial small subunit ribosomal RNA", at positions 915 to 1391 of the family's 1533-position model. The record is from RNAcentral.